This 516-nucleotide ribosomal RNA is filed under the name uncultured bacterium. RNAcentral's name for it is "bacterial SSU rRNA". It matches the Rfam family "Bacterial small subunit ribosomal RNA", at positions 988 to 1503 of the family's 1533-position model. The record is from RNAcentral.
CCACUGACCUCUCCCUAAUCGGAGAUUUCCCUUCGGGGACAGUGGUGACAGGUGGUGCAUGGUGUCGUCAGCUCGUGUCGUGAGAUGUUGGGUUAAGUCCCGCAACGAGCGCAACCCUUGCCCUUUAGUUGCCAGCAUUAAGUUGGGCACUCUAGAGGGACUGCCGAGGAUAACUCGGAGGAAGGUGGGGAUGACGUCAAAUCAUCAUGCCCCUUAUGCUUAGGGCUACACACGUGCUACAAUGGGUGGUACAGAGGGUUGCCAAGCCGCGAGGUGGAGCUAAUCCCUUAAAGCCAUUCUCAGUUCGGAUUGUAGGCUGAAACUCGCCUACAUGAAGCUGGAGUUACUAGUAAUCGCAGAUCAGAAUGCUGCGGUGAAUGCGUUCCCGGGUCUUGUACACACCGCCCGUCACACCAUGGAAGUUGGGGGCGCCCGAAGCCGGUUAGCUAACCUUUUAGGAAGCGGCCGUCGAAGGUGAAACCAAUGACUGGGGUGAAGUCGUAACAAGGUAACCUA